This 76-nucleotide transfer RNA is filed under the name Alphaproteobacteria bacterium. RNAcentral's name for it is "tRNA-Lys". It matches the Rfam family "tRNA". From Rfam's summary of the family: Transfer RNA (tRNA) molecules are approximately 80 nucleotides in length. The record is from RNAcentral. Lineage: Bacteria; Pseudomonadati; Pseudomonadota; Alphaproteobacteria.
GGGGCUAUAUCUCAGUUGGUAGAGCAAAUGACUUUUAAUCAUUGGGUCCAGGGUUCGAGUCCCUGUGGCCCCACCA